AAUUUAAGAUAACAUUCGAUCCCACAAACAAAAGUAGAAUCUUUACAAAAAUAUAUUUUACUUUCAACGCAGAGGACCAAACUAUAUACGAAACUUUGAACCUAGAUAAUUAGCAUUAGAGAAAAACCUCUAAACCCUUGAACCAAAGAUUACCUACUACGUACUAGAGAUUCAAGAGAAACCCAAAUUAUUUUCAAAGACUUGAUGAAUGGAUUAAGCUAGAUCAACUUGACCUUGAUUCCGUAGAGUGCGCCUCAGAUGAAAAAAGUUGAAGACAAAGAACUGUGUAUUGGUUAUAGGUGAGACUAGCUGGAAGAUGCACGAAACAAGAGAGGAAGAUUGAUGAGUCACAUUAGCGCUCCUUCUCAAACUCUACAGAGACCCUGUUCAAAAAAAAACAAGA
Long non-coding RNA from Brassica oleracea var. oleracea, 403 nucleotides. RefSeq lists it as uncharacterized. NCBI's taxonomy places the organism in Eukaryota, Viridiplantae, Streptophyta, Magnoliopsida, Brassicales, Brassicaceae. The transcript is spliced from 3 exons. The record is from RefSeq and is a predicted model, not a curated record.